AGCAGAAGUGAUGAGCCUCAGUUACCGCCCCAGUCUGACAAUUCAUGACUGAUUGGUACCCUCUGAUCACCACCACUUGGG
Molecule: small nucleolar RNA, 81 nt
Organism: Stegastes partitus (bicolor damselfish)
Lineage: Eukaryota; Metazoa; Chordata; Actinopteri; Pomacentridae
Source: Ensembl